GAGUCGUUAGCUUAGUUGGUAAAGCAGUGGACUCAUCCCUUGGCCUCAGGUUUGAACCCCGCACGACCCA
This 70-nucleotide transfer RNA is filed under the name Candidatus Regiella insecticola 5.15. RNAcentral describes it as "Candidatus Regiella insecticola R5.15 tRNA". It matches the Rfam family "tRNA". From Rfam's summary of the family: Transfer RNA (tRNA) molecules are approximately 80 nucleotides in length. The record is from Rfam by way of RNAcentral. Lineage: Bacteria; Pseudomonadati; Pseudomonadota; Gammaproteobacteria; Enterobacterales; Enterobacteriaceae.